Long non-coding RNA from Anneissia japonica, 162 nucleotides. RefSeq lists it as uncharacterized. The transcript is spliced from 3 exons. Lineage: Eukaryota; Metazoa; Echinodermata; Crinoidea; Comatulida; Comatulidae. The record is from RefSeq and is a predicted model, not a curated record.
UCAGCAAUUGCGACCGUGCUGAACAUAGUCUACAAAAAUGAGGGCAUUAAUCUUAGUUGCAAUUUUGUGCGUGAGCUUUUCAGAAAUUACUGAAGGCUACAAACGCAUUUGUUACUACACCAACUGGGCUCAGUACCGCAAUGAAUUUGCCAAAUAUACACC